CCUACGGGUGGCAGCAGUGAGGAAUAUUGGUCAAUGGACGAGAGUCUGAACCAGCCAAGUAGCGUGAAGGAUGACUGCCCUAUGGGUUGUAAACUUCUUUUAUAUGGGAAUAAAAUGUUCCACGUGUGGGAUUUUGUAUGUACCAUAUGAAUAAGGAUCGGCUAACUCCGUGCCAGCAGCCGCGGUAAUACGGAGGAGCCGAGCGUUAUGCGGAUUUAUUGGGUUUAAAGGGAGCGUAGGUGGAUUGUUAAGUCAGUUGUGAAAGUUUGCGGCUCAACCGUAAAAUUGCAGUUGAAACUGGCAGUCUUGAGUACAGUAGAGGUGGGCGGAAUUCGUGGUGUAGCGGUGAAAUGCUUAGAUAUCACGAAGAACUCCGAUUGCGAAGGCAGUUCACUGGACUGCAACUGACACUGAGGCUCGAAAGUGUGGGUAUCAAACAGGAUUAGAUACCCUAGUAGUC
This 460-nucleotide ribosomal RNA is filed under the name uncultured bacterium. Its description in RNAcentral is "partial 16S ribosomal RNA". It matches the Rfam family "Bacterial small subunit ribosomal RNA", at positions 338 to 795 of the family's 1533-position model. The record is from RNAcentral.